This 803-nucleotide ribosomal RNA is filed under the name Microdochium nivale var. nivale. RNAcentral's name for it is "LSU rRNA". It matches the Rfam family "Eukaryotic large subunit ribosomal RNA", at positions 81 to 912 of the family's 3401-position model. Lineage: Eukaryota; Fungi; Ascomycota; Sordariomycetes; Xylariales; Microdochiaceae. The record is from RNAcentral.
UAGUAACGGCGAGUGAAGCGGCAACAGCUCAAAUUUGAAAUCUGGCCUUCUGGUCCGAGUUGUAAUUUGUAGAGGAUGAUUUUGGUUAGGUACCUUCCGAGUUCCUUGGAACAGGACGCCUUAGAGGGUGAGAGCCCCGUACGGUUGGAUGCCGAGCCUUUGUAAAUCUCCUUCGACGAGUCGAGUAGUUUGGGAAUGCUGCUCUAAAUGGGAGGUAAAUUUCUUCUAAAGCUAAAUACCGGCCAGAGACCGAUAGCGCACAAGUAGAGUGAUCGAAAGAUGAAAAGCACUUUGAAAAGAGGGUUAAAUAGUACGUGAAAUUGUUGAAAGGGAAGGAUUUAUGACCAGACCUUUGCCUUGCGGAUCAUCCGGUGUUCUCACCGGUGCACUUCGCUUGGUUGAGGCCAGCAUCAGUUUUGGCGGCGGGAUAAAGACUUCAGGAACGUGACUCCCCCGGGAGUGUUAUAGCCUGCUGUGUAAUACCGCCGCUGGGACUGAGGACCGCGCUUCGGCUAGGAUGCUGGCAUAAUGGUCAUCAAUCACCCGUCUUGAAACACGGACCAAGGAGUCGAACAUUUAUGCGAGUUUUUGGGUGUUAAACCCUCAAGCGUAAUGAAAGUGAACGGAGGUGAGAGCCCUUACGGGUGCAUCAUCGACCGAUCCUGAUGUCUUCGGAUGGAUUUGAGUAAGAGCAUAACUGUUCGGACCCGAAAGAUGGUGAACUAUGCGUGGAUAGGGUGAAGCCAGAGGAAACUCUGGUGGAGGCUCGCAGCGGUUCUGACGUGCAAAUCGAUCGUCAAUCU